Molecule: long non-coding RNA, 646 nt
Filed under: Chloebia gouldiae (Gouldian finch)
Lineage: Eukaryota; Metazoa; Chordata; Aves; Passeriformes; Passeridae
Description: Erythrura gouldiae (Gouldian finch) lncRNA (ENSEGOG00005010880.1)
Source: RNAcentral
UUUGGGUUUUUGGGGUCGGUUUUUGUGGUUUUGGGGUUUUCGGGGUCGGUUUUCGUGUUUUUGGGGUUUUCGGGGUCGGUUUUGGGGUUUUUGGGGUUUUUGGGGUCGGUUUUCGUGUUUUUGUGGUCGGUUUUUGUGUUUUCGGGGUUUCUGGGGUCGGUUUUUGUGUUUCUGGGGUCGGUUUUUGGGGUUUUCGGGGUCGGUUUUCGUGUUUUCGGGGUUUUUGGGGUCGGUUUUUGGGUUUUCGGGGUCGGUUUUCGUGUUUUCGGGGUUUUUGGGGUCGGUUUUUGUGUUUUCGGGGUUUCUGGGGUCGGUUUUUGGGUUUUUGGGGUCGGUUUUUGUGUUUUCGUGUUUCUGGGGUCGGUUUUUGUGUUUCUGGGGUCGGUUUUCGUGUUUCUGGGGUCGGUUUUUGGGUUUUUGGGGUCGGUUUUCGUGUUUCUGGGGUCGGUUUUCGUGUUUCUGGGGUCGGUUUCUGGGCCCUCCACACCUGAACCUGUCCGGGUCGGGGCGCAGGCAGCAGCUGUCGGAGGAGGAGCUGGGGCGCAUCGAGGACGCGUGCGACAUGGCGCUGGCGCUCAGCGGCGCCAAGCUGCGCAUCUACGAGUACGUGGAGUCCCGCAUGUCCUUCAUCGCCCCCAACCUCUCC